CACACAGCUCAGUAACACGUGGCUAACCUGCCCUUGGGACGAGAACACCCCCGGGAAACUGGGGCUAAUUCUCGAUAGGCGAAGAACUCUGGAAUGAGUCUUCACCCAAAAGACGCUUAGAUCAUGCUUCUAAACGUCGCCCAAGGAUGGGGCCGCGGCCGAUCAGGUUGUUGGUGAGGUAAUGGCUCACCAAGCCUUUAACCGGUGCGGGCCGUGGGAGCGGGAGCCCGGAGAUGGGCACUGAGACAAGGGCCCAGGCCCUACGGGGCGCAGCAGUCGCGAAAACUUUGCAAUAAGCGAAAGCUUGACAGGGCUAUCCCGAGUGCCAUCCGCUGAGGAAGGCUUUUACCCAGUCUAGUAAGCUGGGGGAAUAAGGAGAGGGCAAGUCUGGUGUCAGCCGCCGCGGUAAUACCAGCUCUCCGAGUGGUGUGGAUGUUUAUUGGGCCUAAAGCAUCCGUAGCUGGCUGAGUUAGUCCCCUGUUAAAUCCACCGAAUCAAUCGUUGGAUUGGGGGGGAUACUGCUCGGCUAGGGGACGGGAGAGGCAGACGGUAUUUCCGGGGUAGGGGUGAAAUCCAAUAAUCCCGGGAAAACCACCAGUGGCGAAGGCUGUCUGCUAAAACGCGCCCGACGGUGAGGGAUGAAAGCUGGGGGUAGCGAACC
This 661-nucleotide ribosomal RNA is filed under the name uncultured archaeon. Its description in RNAcentral is "bacterial SSU rRNA". It matches the Rfam family "Archaeal small subunit ribosomal RNA", at positions 82 to 725 of the family's 1478-position model. The record is from RNAcentral.